AGUGAACGCUGGCGGUAGGCCUAACACAUGCAAGUCGAACGGCAGCACAGUAAGAGCUUGCUCUUACGGGUGGCGAGUGGCGGACGGGUGAGGAAUACAUCGGAAUCUACUUUUUCGUGGGGGAUAACGUAGGGAAACUUACGCUAAUACCGCAUACGACCUACGGGUGAAAGCAGGGGAUCUUCGGACCUUGCGCGAUUGAAUGAGCCGAUGUGGGAUUAGCUAGUUGGCGGGGUAAAGGCCCACCAAGGCGACGAUCCGUAGCUGGUCUGAGAGGAUGAUCAGCCACACGGGAACUGAGACACGGUCCAGACUCCUACGGGAGGCAGCAGUGGGGAAUAUGAGACAAUGGGCGCAAGCCUGAUCCAGCCAUACCGCGUGGGUGAAGAAGGCCUUCGGGUUGUAAAGCCCUUUUGUUGGGAAAGAAAAGCAGCAGGUUAAUACCACGCUGUUCUGACGGUACCCAAAGAAUAAGCACCGGCUAACUUCGUG
This 492-nucleotide ribosomal RNA is filed under the name uncultured bacterium. RNAcentral describes it as "partial 16S ribosomal RNA". It matches the Rfam family "Bacterial small subunit ribosomal RNA", at positions 29 to 507 of the family's 1533-position model. The record is from RNAcentral.